This is a non-coding RNA of Paramuricea clavata, 64 nucleotides long. Lineage: Eukaryota; Metazoa; Cnidaria; Anthozoa; Malacalcyonacea; Plexauridae. The record is from the annotation of a GenBank genome assembly.
GGUUCUGUGGUUAGCAUUUUUGACUCUGAAUCUAAGCAUCCGAGUUCAAGUCUCGGCAGAACCU